UUGCGUACCGCGCGCACACACACACCCCCCCUCCCUCCCUCCCUCCCUCCCACAAAGCCGGGCGGGCCGUGCGCGUACCUUCCCGCUUGGCCUUUCACUGAAUGCCUGCUUCUGUGUCGGUCACACGAGUGUAACACAAUGUAGCCGUGUGCAGAUUAUCAGGAGUCCUUCAGGAGUUCUUGGCACGCUGUUUGCUGCUGCUGCAGCUCAGAGGAGGAUGAUUCAUCUUCUCCUCCGGGCUGUGACUUGACUUCGAAGGUUUCGCAACACUGGGUGGCUUUAUAACGACAUCAUUGCCGGCUGUGUGUGUGUGCCUCCCAAAAGCUUUCUUUGCAAACUUGCGAGCGAAAGAGCAGCGAGCGGCAAGGGGGGGGGACAAAUCUUAAAACAGCAGCCCCCCCCUCUUUCCUAGGGAAAAACAAUGGCGCUUUACAUCUGCCACAGAAGCUUUCUUUGCAAACUUGCGAGCGAACGCGCAGCGAGCAGCAAGGGGGGGGGAAAACAAAUCUUAAAACAGCAGCCCCCCCCCUUUCCUGGGGAAAAACAAUGGCGCUUUACAUCUGCCAGCUCUUCCUCUUAGCUGCCGAUUUAACGCUGGCGUCCGCGAUCUCCUGCGUCCUUUACACGCUCACCUGCCUGUGUAUUGGGACUGUCGUCAGUUUGUUGAUCCUUCUCUGCUCCUUUGGGGUGGCGAAGAACGUGAGGAAAAUGGUGGGCCGAAUGGGGGGUGCGCUCCUCAGCUUGGCUUGGAGGAGCCCCGUUGGAAAGAUGCUUUUGAGGAAAUCUGAACAUCCAGAGUUUGAGGUGCUGGCAGCGCCUCAUGGCCAGGAGGCAAACUGGGACCCAGUUCCGAAGGAGGAAGGCGCAUCCGCCACUAAACUGCCAGGGACUCGGAAGAAAUCACAGAAGCCUCUGGGGCAGAGUCAGCUUCCUCCGAAAGUUUUUUUGCUUGCUCUCCUCUGGGCUCCUGUGGACCUGGUGUGCCCUUGUCUGAAGAAAACAAGGUAUCGGUUGCUUAGCACCCUACUGAAAUCUCGAGACUAAGAGGUGAGGCAGCCUGGACGUGUACCCCCACAGAUAUAUAUCUGAACGGAGCCCCCUAGCUAAAGAGACAAGUGUAACCUGAAACAAAACAAUGCAGUGUUGAUCUGGUAGGGAGAAUGGAAUGGCCAGGCCAGUGGAAGGGAAAAACGGUGACCUUUGUCCCCACACCCUAUUUCAGCAGAGAGUGCUAACUUAUUUAAUGGGCUAUGUAUGGGUCAAGUGAACAGAAAAUUUAAUGUGAAUUCCAGGAUUACUGUAUUUUUCUGUGUUUAAAACAACACUUUUCCCUAAAAUAAUUAAAGGAAAAAUUGAGGGUUCUUUUAUACAGGGCAGUAAGGAGGGGGGAGGGAUCAAAGGCCUUUGAUCCCUCCUACCCCCCCCCCCAUUUUGCAAAGAAAAUGAAAGGGGAAAGCAAUUCCUGCUUUCCACCGACAUUUUCAUUGCAAAACGUUUGCAACAUUUUGUUUUAUUUAUUUUAUUUACAGUAUUUAUUAAAUUUAUACCCCGCCCAUCUAGACCGAAGUCUACUCUGGGUGGCUAACAAUAAUAGAUAAAAUAAAAACAAUAUAAUAAAAUAAAAAAAAUCCA
This 1632-nucleotide long non-coding RNA is filed under the name Pogona vitticeps (central bearded dragon). RNAcentral describes it as "lncRNA (ENSPVIG00000011079.1)". Lineage: Eukaryota; Metazoa; Chordata; Lepidosauria; Squamata; Agamidae. The record is from RNAcentral.